This 577-nucleotide ribosomal RNA is filed under the name uncultured bacterium. RNAcentral's name for it is "bacterial SSU rRNA". It matches the Rfam family "Bacterial small subunit ribosomal RNA", at positions 102 to 677 of the family's 1533-position model. The record is from RNAcentral.
ACGGGUGCGUAACGCGUAGGAAUCUGCCUUGAAGCGGGGGACAACCCGAGGAAACUCGGGCUAAUACCGCAUAAUCUCGAGAGAGAAAAGUUGGGUGGCAACACCAGACACUUCAAGAGGAGCCUGCGUCCGAUUAGCUAGUUGGUGGGGUAAAAGCCUACCAAGGCGAUGAUCGGUAGCUGGUCUGAGAGGAUGACCAGCCACACUGGGACUGAGACACGGCCCAGACUCCUACGGGAGGCAGCAGUGGGGAAUAUUGGACAAUGGGGGCAACCCUGAUCCAGCAAUGCCGCGUGUGUGAAGAAGGCCUUAGGGUUGUAAAGCACUUUAGUUGGGGAGGAAGGUUAGUAGUUUAAGAGAUAACUAAUUUGACUGUACCCAAAGAAUAAGCACCGGCUAACUCUGUGCCAGCAGCCGCGGUAAUACAGAGGGUGCGAGCGUUAAUCGGAAUUACUGGGCGUAAAGGGCGCGUAGGCGGUGUAUUAAGUUAGACGUGAAAUCCCUGGGCUUAACCUAGGAACUGCAUCUAAUACUGGUACGCUAGAGUGCAGUAGAGGGUAGUGGAAUUUCCGGUGUA